RNAcentral lists this ribosomal RNA (253 nucleotides) under uncultured Luteolibacter sp. RNAcentral's name for it is "partial 16S ribosomal RNA". It matches the Rfam family "Bacterial small subunit ribosomal RNA", at positions 524 to 776 of the family's 1533-position model. Lineage: Bacteria; Pseudomonadati; Verrucomicrobiota; Verrucomicrobiia; Verrucomicrobiales; Verrucomicrobiaceae. The record is from RNAcentral.
UACGAAGGUCCCGAGCGUUGUUCGGAAUCACUGGGCGUAAAGGGAGCGUAGGCGGCGCGGUAAGUCAGAUGUGAAAUCCCGGGGCUCAACCCCGGAACUGCAUCCGAUACUGCCGUGCUAGAGGAUUGGAGAGGUAGCUGGAAUUCUUGGUGUAGCAGUGAAAUGCGUGGAGAUCAAGAGGAACACUCGUGGCGAAAGCGAGCUACUGGACAAUAUCUGACGCUGAGGCUCGAAGGCCAGGGUAGCGAAAGGC